AGGUUAAUAAAACUGGCUUAAGAUUAAACUUCAAAUUAUUGUUUUAAAUCAAACGACAUCUUCAUAACCUAACAGAUCAAGUCAACAGUGAAUAUACAGGUUACCGGUUUUAUAUUUCUACCUCUAAUAUUUUUGUUGGUGAAAUUACCUUUUAGCGAAAUAAAAUAGAUUUAUUUUGACUUCAAGUAAGUACGAAGGUAAAGAAACUUCGUCGGUGCCGCACGAACUGAACGGCCUGCAGCACGAUGAAUGCGUUACGGUGCUAAACAGACACAGAAACGGAGGGAUUUUGAACGAUGAUCAAUAUCAUUUUCGUAAGCUGUUACAGUCAAUGGAAGCCACUCUCCGUCUACCACUGGCAUUAAUUGAUAUUAUUUUAUGUAUUUCAUUAUUGCGAUGAUUUUUAAAUUAAAACUUUCAGUGCCUGGAUGCAACCUG
Bombyx mori (domestic silkworm) is the source of this 438-nucleotide long non-coding RNA. RefSeq lists it as uncharacterized. Lineage: Eukaryota; Metazoa; Arthropoda; Insecta; Lepidoptera; Bombycidae. The record is from RefSeq and is a predicted model, not a curated record. The transcript has 2 exons.